GCAUGUGGUAUAUAUCUCUUUCUACUGUUAUGAAUCAUACCCUUAUGGUCCCAAAAGAAAAAACUUUCAAAUUUCAAAUUUACAGCCAUUAAUAAAAAAAGCAUAUAGAUACAAAAAUUUAAAUGUCAAUGGUAGAAACCCUAGUAAAUUUGAUAUGAACAUUAUAUAAGCUUUGCAUGUUUUCUGUCUUUGGGCCCCUUCUUCCUAAUAUGACUAUACAAGCUAGUUUUCUUUUACUAUAUAGUUACCCUGAUCUUGAAUAUAUACAUAUAUAGUAGUACUCCAAUAUUACUCCUCCAUUCCAGAUUUAUUACAAUUAAUGUUUUAGUGUUUGUAGUACGGAAUUUAAAAC
This 352-nucleotide long non-coding RNA is filed under the name Panax ginseng (ginseng). Its description in RNAcentral is "long non-coding RNA (PGIN_LNC001398)". Lineage: Eukaryota; Viridiplantae; Streptophyta; Magnoliopsida; Apiales; Araliaceae. The record is from RNAcentral.